GAACAGUGCCAAGUAAGUAAUUUUGAAGCCUAGUGGUUCUUAUUGAUUUUGGACGUGUUCAAAGGUAAAUCAUGGACACAGUGAAAAUUAGUAAAAAAAACUAGCUAUACACUCAUCUUCCUUUUAAAUACCCCCUACAUAACACAUACAGAAGGACCCUUUUCUGAUUUCAGACUUGCCUUCUACUCAUCAUAAUCUGUAUCUGUAUUGAUCAGUCUAAUGAUUGAUGUAGAGUAAUGGAGCACAUCUGCUUUGUUGUUAGAUUAUGAUUAUGUUGGUUAACUUGCUUACUUUUUUGAUUGCUACUUCGGUAGAUUUUGAAAUGUUUCCCAGUUUUUUUCUGUUGCAUGUGAUGUGAAAAUCCUCCAUGAAUGUUGAGGGGUUCUGUUAUUGUUGAUAAAGGACAGCAACCUUGGCCAGUGGGACCUGCACCACAGCCUAACAUUCCACAUGGAUCAGAGUUGAGAGCAGAUCCCUCACCAAAGACAAGAGCACCCCACUAACCUGCUCUCCUUCCUGGGCUGCGGUCAUUGUCAACUGAAGGGUAGGAACAAGGCUCUGCUGGAGCAGACACAGCAGGCGAGGAGUAGGAGCAGGCUCUGACGCGCAUCUCGCCAGCCUACGGGCAACAGACGUCCACCAUGCCACACCAACACAGUCCAUUAUGAAGGCACAAGUGUAUUAACCAGUGUCUGCCAUAGGGCCAGUUUGAUGUAAUUCUCUUAAAUGUUAUAUAAAUGACGUUUUGCAUUAAAUGUUGCUCUUCAUUCUGAGAGAGACGCUCACUUUUGGAGUGAAUACUUCUGGAGCGUA
Molecule: long non-coding RNA, 813 nt
Organism: Electrophorus electricus (electric eel)
Lineage: Eukaryota; Metazoa; Chordata; Actinopteri; Gymnotiformes; Gymnotidae
Source: Ensembl